RNAcentral lists this ribosomal RNA (1233 nucleotides) under Triticum aestivum (bread wheat). Its description in RNAcentral is "partial small subunit ribosomal RNA". Lineage: Eukaryota; Viridiplantae; Streptophyta; Magnoliopsida; Poales; Poaceae. The record is from RNAcentral.
AUGUUUGCACUUGCAGUCUUCCUGCUCCUGCUCACUGAAACCACAGCCCACAAACCUCAUGAUACAUCGGGGCAUGGAAGGGGCUGCAUCGCCAGGGAGAGGGAAGCCCUGUUGUCCAUUAAAGCAGGCAUGGUAGACGAUGAUAGCCUGAGCCUCUUCUCAUCAUGGCACGGGCAGGACUGCUGCCGGUGGAUGGGCGUCAGGUGCAGCAACAGAACUGGCCAUGUCGUCAAGCUCGACCUUCACGAAGGAUUCCUCGUAGUGCCCCAUCAGCUUGGUAAUCUCUCGAAGUUGCGAUAUCUUGAUCUGGCAUCUGGUUAUGAUCAAUUGUACUCCAAAGAUAUUUCAUGGCUACGACAACUCUCUUCGCUCAAGUAUCUUGACAUGACUUCUGUGAACCUCAGCACAGUAACUGGUUGGGUUGAUACACUGAACAUGCUGUCCUUUCUUGAGGUCCUCAGGCUAACUGGUUGUUGGCUCCCUCCGAACAAUAGCACAGUCCACUCUGCUCCCCACACAAAUCUCACUAGGCUCAAGACCUUAGACCUCUCUUUCAAUUCAUUUGAAACAUUUCAUAGUGUUGCCUUCGUUUGGGGUGCAACCAGCCUGAAACAUCUGAAUCUUGAAGAGAACAUGAUCGAUGAAGUGCUGCCCGCAGAACUGGGAAACUUGAGCGCACUUGAAAUCCUUCAGCUGAGUGGGAGCUUCGUAAAGGGAAUGUUACCAGAUACUCUGAUCAAUCUUUGCAAUCUGAAAAUAAUUGACCUGACAUGGAAUGAAAUUGAAGGGGAUGUGACAGGGUUCAUCGAGAGGUUGCCAAAAUGUUCAUUGAGUAAGUUGCAGGUGCUGCUUCUGGAUCAUAAUAACAUAACUGGCUCCCUGCCAGAUUCAGUCAGCCGCAUGACUAGCUUGAUCACCCUUAAUCUGGCUUUCAAUGGGCUUACAGGAAAUCUGACCACUGGGAUAGGCAAUCUUUCUAACUUGACUUACCUUGACCUCCGCUACAAUCAGAUGGGUGGGCUGAUCACUGAAGAACACUUCUCCAAGCUUCCACAUUUGCAAGAACUGCACUUAUCUGCAAAUUCAUUUACCAUGGAGUGGAACUCUGAAUGGGUCCCUCCAUUCGGCUUGCAGAUAUUAGGAUUGAAAUCAUGUUGUGUUGGGCCAGGAUUCCCUCAAUGGCUCAAAUGGCAGGAGAAUUCUCCGAACUUUAUAUGUCCAAUGCCAGCAUAG